CUGAACCAGCCAUGCCGCAUGCAGGAUGAGGGCCCUCUGGGUUGUAAACUGCUUUUACACGGGAAGAAACAACGCCACUCGUGCUGACUUGACGGUACCGUAAGAAUAAGGACCGGCUAACUCCGUGCCAGCAGCCGCGGUAAUACGGAGGAUGCAAGCGUUAUCCGGAUUCAUUGGGUUUAAAGGGUGCGUAGGCGGGUCUGUAAGUCAGUGGUGAAAUCUCCCCGCUCAACUGGGAAACGGCCAUUGAUACUGUAGGUCUUGAAUUAUCUAGAGGUAACCGGAAUAUGUCGUGUAGCGGUGAAAUGCUUAGAUAUUACAUGGAACACCAAUUGCGAAGGCAGGUUACUACGAAUGCAUUGACCCUGAGGCACGAAAGCGUGGGGAUCAAACAGGAUUAGAUACCCUGGUAGUCCACGCCCUAAACGAUGGAUACUCGACUUUGGGGACAAACUAUAUGGGUCAGAGCAAAAGCUUUAAGUAUCCCACCGGGGAAGCACUACCGCAAGGGUGAAUCUCAA
This 521-nucleotide ribosomal RNA is filed under the name uncultured Bacteroidota bacterium. Its description in RNAcentral is "bacterial SSU rRNA". It matches the Rfam family "Bacterial small subunit ribosomal RNA", at positions 383 to 904 of the family's 1533-position model. Lineage: Bacteria; Pseudomonadati; Bacteroidota. The record is from RNAcentral.